This 332-nucleotide unclassified non-coding RNA is filed under the name soil metagenome. RNAcentral describes it as "partial contains 5.8S ribosomal RNA, internal transcribed spacer 2, and large subunit ribosomal RNA". The stretch from base 1 to 120 matches the Rfam family "5.8S ribosomal RNA", at positions 35 to 154 of the family's 154-position model. The record is from RNAcentral.
GAUGAAGAACGUAGCGAAAUGCGAUAAGUAAUGUGAAUUGCAGAAUUCAGUGAAUCAUCGAAUCUUUGAACGCACAUUGCGCCCGCUAGUAUUCUGGCGGGCAUGCCUGUUCGAGCGUCAUUUCAACCAUCAAGCCCUGUUUAGGCUUGUGUUGGGGCCCUGCGGCUGCCGCAGCCCCCUAAAUGCAGUGGCGGGCUCGUUGUCACUCCGAGCGCAGUAGCGUAUCUCGCUCUGGGCGUGGCGGCGGGUGCUAGCCGUGAAACACCCACUAAGGUUGACCUCGGAUCAAGUAAGACUACCCGCUGAACUUAAGCAUAUCAAUAAGCGGAGGA